UGACCCUCGUAUCAUUAGGAUUUUGGUUCCAUGAUGAUAGGUAAGGUUUUGAAAUUUAAUGUCCUCUUCUCCUUUUCAGGUCCCUGAGUUGGUUAAUGUUGAUUUUGCUCAGGCACGGUCCAUCUUAGGGAUCAACGAGAGGUGGCUCAAGCGAUACGGGAUGGCGGCGAGCAGCGGCGACCGCAGCGGACGGUGCAGCAGACUGGACAUGCUUUAGAAAUCACGGUCAAGACAACACGUCUUGGGGAGUGGUGCGCCUGUCAAGCGACAGCGUCUGAUUCCUACACAACAAGGACUGUCACUCAAGUCUUAGGAUUUGACAACAUUAUUUCUGGCUGUUAGAUUGUACAACAUAUUUGUUAUGGAUUGUGACAUCCACAUAAUACUGGAUUCAGCCAGAGAAGGCGGGGAUCCAUGGAUGCCAGUGAGGGAAGCAGCUUGGCUCGGGCCAACCAUGGUGCUAGCGUUGCAACUCGCCGCCAUCCUCCUUCGUCUCCCAUCCACAGCUGGCUCCAACCCCUCCUCUGAUGUGGUGCUAUGAGAGCAAGAAAAAGAGCAGACAUGCUCUGUAUCUACAUCCAGCGUCCACACAGCCAGAUAAUGGUACUGCUCUGAAUAAUUCUCUUUUUGUUUAGAGCUACGGUGAUGCAUGUAACUAUGUUAUCUUAAAUUAUCUGCUUGUGUUAAUUGAAAAAAUUAUGUUCCUUGCUUACAUUUUCAAUGCAAACUUGUUGGUGGUUUGUCCAUUCUGCUGUUUGAAAAUUCAAAGCACUCCAUAUUAAUGCAUUCUCUAUCUUCUGAUGUGUCGGCUAUUAAACUAAGCAACGACAUAUGUACUACACAUGCUUCUGGCAUAGCGUGAUUAAAACAUAGGUUAAUGCCGUACUUUUGUUUGGAAGAUUAGUCCUGCUAUUUUUUAGCGAUUGUAAGUAUUGGGGGCAUGCUUGGAUAAUUUCCUGGUGUGUUUUGUAUUGUUCUGACUAUGCUUGUAUCUAAACGGGUUGUCUAUUGUUCUGACCGAUACAUGUAUUUUGUAUAACGACUGACUGUAAGAGUUACAUAUGGCUACUUUAAUCAAUUUUAAGAGUUACAUAUAUGCUUUUACAGUUUUUUAUGUGUUCAUAGAAUAGAUAACUUAGCUUCUUAUGCAGUGAAAUAACAUUGAACCUCUUUCUGCAUGAUACUGGCAUCCACGGUUUGUAUGUAUUGUUAUGUACUUGAGUGCACCAGCGGAUAUAUGUUUGUCGACUAUUUUGUGCUUAUGGUGAACUCUUGUGAGUGAAUAUUUCGACCUUGAUAUAUCAUCUGUUAAUUGCUUUAUAACUAUUUUACUCUAGGCCUCUAAUCCUCCCACCAGAAAAUGACUAGCUGAGCCGCAUCAAUGUGUGACUGCAAGAACCUUUGAAUUGCCCCAACUUCUAACCCUUUGACCCUUU
This is a non-coding RNA of Lolium perenne, 1436 nucleotides long. Lineage: Eukaryota; Viridiplantae; Streptophyta; Magnoliopsida; Poales; Poaceae. The record is from RefSeq and is a predicted model, not a curated record.